RNAcentral lists this transfer RNA (75 nucleotides) under Thermoanaerobaculia bacterium. Its description in RNAcentral is "tRNA-Gln". It matches the Rfam family "tRNA". Rfam says of the family: Transfer RNA (tRNA) molecules are approximately 80 nucleotides in length. Their secondary structure includes four short double-helical elements and three loops (D, anti-codon, and T loops). The record is from RNAcentral. Lineage: Bacteria; Pseudomonadati; Acidobacteriota; Thermoanaerobaculia.
UGGGGCGUCGCCAAGUGGUAAGGCACGAGACUUUGGAUCUCGCAAUCGGAGGUUCGAAUCCUCCCGCCCCAACCA